GCGGAAGUGGCGUAACGGCAGCCGCGCUGGGUUUAGGUCCCAGUGCUCGUAAGAGCGUGCGGGUUCGAAUCCCGCCUUCCGCACC
RNAcentral lists this transfer RNA (85 nucleotides) under Actinoplanes nipponensis. RNAcentral describes it as "tRNA-Leu". It matches the Rfam family "tRNA". From Rfam's summary of the family: Transfer RNA (tRNA) molecules are approximately 80 nucleotides in length. Their secondary structure includes four short double-helical elements and three loops (D, anti-codon, and T loops). Further hydrogen bonds mediate the characteristic L-shaped molecular structure. tRNAs have two regions of fundamental functional importance: the anti-codon, which is responsible for specific mRNA codon recognition, and the 3' end, to which the tRNAs corresponding amino acid is attached (by aminoacyl-tRNA synthetases). tRNAs cope with the degeneracy of the genetic code in two manners: having more than one tRNA (with a specific anti-codon) for a particular amino acid; and 'wobble' base-pairing, i.e. permitting non-standard base-pairing at the 3rd anti-codon position. Lineage: Bacteria; Bacillati; Actinomycetota; Actinomycetes; Micromonosporales; Micromonosporaceae. The record is from RNAcentral.